GUGAAUCAUCGAAUUUUUGAACGCAAAUUGCACUCUCUGGUAUUCCGGAGAGUAUGCCUGUUUGAGGGUCAGUUUAAAUAAAAAUCGGUUUGGUUGCUGCCUUUCUUGGUGACGCACCGGAUUUGGGUCGUCUUGCCUUCGGUUAAGUUACUUAAAAUUUUUCAUGUUUUUUUUCUAACGUAUUUAAAUGAUUUUACGUACUUUUACGAUAGCCUAUACUAGGUGUAGUCAUCCUUGG
Molecule: unclassified non-coding RNA, 238 nt
Filed under: Glomeraceae sp.
Lineage: Eukaryota; Fungi; Glomeromycota; Glomeromycetes; Glomerales; Glomeraceae
Description: partial contains 5.8S ribosomal RNA and internal transcribed spacer 2
Rfam family: 5.8S ribosomal RNA (bases 1-71)
Source: RNAcentral